Molecule: ribosomal RNA, 445 nt
Filed under: uncultured Candidatus Odyssella sp.
Lineage: Bacteria; Pseudomonadati; Pseudomonadota; Alphaproteobacteria; Holosporales; Candidatus Paracaedibacteraceae
Description: bacterial SSU rRNA
Rfam family: Bacterial small subunit ribosomal RNA
Source: RNAcentral
AGAGUUUGAUCAUGGCUCAGAACGAACGCUGGCGGCAUGCCUAACACAUGCAAGUCGAACGGGAUCCUGGCUUCGGUCAGGUGGGAGUGGCGGACGGGUGAGUAACGCGUGGGAACCUGCCCGGUGGUGGGGGAUAACUGCGGGAAACUGCAGCUAAUACCGCAUGAUCCCGAGAGGGGAAAGAUUUAUCGCCAUUGGAGGGGCCCGCGUUCGAUUAGGUAGUUGGUGAGGUAAUGGCUCACCAAGCCGACGAUCGAUAGCUGGUCUGAGAGGAUGAUCAGCCACACUGGGACUGAGAUACGGCCCAGACUCCUACGGGAGGCAGCAGUGGGGAAUAUUGGACAAUGGGGGCAACCCUGAUCCAGCAAUGCCGCGUGAGUGAUGAAGGCCUUCGGGUUGUAAAGCUCUUUUGGCGGGGACGAUGAUGACGGUACCCGCAGAAUAG